GCACGAAAGCGUGGGGAGCAAUCAGGAUUAGAUACCCUGGUAGUCCACGCCCUUAACGAUGUCAACUAGUUGUUGGGGAUUCAUUUCCUCAGUAACGUAGCUAACGCGUGAAGUUGACCGCCUGGGGAGUACGGUCGCCAGAUUAAAACUCAAAGGAAUUGACCGGGACCCGCACCAGCGGUGGAUGAUGUGGAUUAAUUCGAUGCAACGCGAAAAACCUUACCUACCCUUGACAUGCCACUAACGAAGCAGAGAUGCAUCAGGUGCCCGAAAGGGAAAGUGGACACAGGUGCUGCAUGGCUGUCGUCAGCUCGUGUCGUGAGAUGUUGGGUGAAGUCCCGCAACGAGCGCAACCCUUGUCUCUAGUUGCUACGCAAGGGCACUCUAGAGAGACUGCCGGUGACAAACCGGAGGAAGGUGGGGAUGACGUCAAGUCCUCAUGGCCCUUAUGGGUAGGGCUUCACACGUCAUACAAUGGUGCGUACAGAGGGUUGCCUACCCGCGAGGGGGAGCUAAUCCCAGAAAACGCAUCGUAGUCCGGAUCGUAGUCUGCAACUCGACUACGUGAAGCUGGAAUCGCUAGUAAUCGCGGAUCAGCAUGGCGCGGUGAAUACGUUCCCGGGUCUUGUACACACGGCCCGUCACACCAUGGGAGUGGGUUUUGCCAGAAGUAGUUAGCCUAACCGCUAGGAGGGCGAUUACCACGGCAGGGUUCAUGACU
Molecule: ribosomal RNA, 721 nt
Filed under: Ralstonia sp. PH19
Lineage: Bacteria; Pseudomonadati; Pseudomonadota; Betaproteobacteria; Burkholderiales; Burkholderiaceae
Description: bacterial SSU rRNA
Rfam family: Bacterial small subunit ribosomal RNA
Source: RNAcentral